GACGAACGCUGGCGGCGUGCCUAAUACAUGCAAGUCGAACGGAAAGGCCCUGCUUUUGUGGGGUUCUCGAGUGGCGAACGGGGGAGUAACACGCGAGUAACCUGCCCUUGACUUUGGGAUAACUUCAGGAAACUGGGGCUAAUACCGGAUAGGAGCUCCUGCUGCAUGGGGGGGGUUGGAAAGUUUCGGCGGUUGGGGAUGGACUCGCGGCUUAUCAGCUUGUUGGUGGGGUAGUGGCUUACCAAGGCUUUGACGGGUAGCCGGCCUGAGAGGGUGGCCGGCCACAUUGGGACUGCGAUACGGCCCAGACUCCUACGGGAGGCAGCAGUGGGGAGUAUUGCACAAUGGGCGGAAGCCUGAUGCAGCAACGCCGCGUGCGGGAUGACGGCCUUCGGGUUGUAAACCGCUUUCGCCUGUGACGAAGCGUGAGUGACGGUAAUGGGUAAAGAAGCACCGGCUAACUACGUG
Molecule: ribosomal RNA, 468 nt
Filed under: uncultured bacterium
Lineage: Bacteria
Description: partial 16S ribosomal RNA
Rfam family: Bacterial small subunit ribosomal RNA
Source: RNAcentral